This 71-nucleotide transfer RNA is filed under the name Canis lupus familiaris (dog). It matches the Rfam family "tRNA". Rfam says of the family: Transfer RNA (tRNA) molecules are approximately 80 nucleotides in length. Their secondary structure includes four short double-helical elements and three loops (D, anti-codon, and T loops). Lineage: Eukaryota; Metazoa; Chordata; Mammalia; Carnivora; Canidae. The record is from Rfam by way of RNAcentral. RNAcentral also lists the same sequence under 1 other name.
GCCUGGCUGGCUCCGUGUGGAGCAUGUGACUUUUGAUCUCAGAGUUAUGAGUUCGAGCCCCAUGUCGGGUG